Molecule: long non-coding RNA, 1110 nt
Filed under: Homo sapiens (human)
Lineage: Eukaryota; Metazoa; Chordata; Mammalia; Primates; Hominidae
Description: HSALNT0302901
Source: RNAcentral
AUUCAAUGAGAAACAAUAUUCAGGUCAGGUCAAAGCCUAGAGAAAAAUGCGCAUUCAGAAGUGGGCUGCCAUCCUGCUUUUUCUGAAGUGAACAGCUGCUGGGUAUUGAAACCAGCCCUCACGGUUGGGUCCCUGCCACCAUGGCAACACUCUGGUUUCUGAGCUGGAGUGGCCAAGGCACAAUGGGGUGGUUCCAUGGCCCAGAAGCACUCUAGCUACAGAUUAGAAUGAUGACAAGAGUAAUACCUUCCUAGUGAAGAUGACUUUUAUUUCAGGACUAUAUUAAGUUUCCCAACUUCUGUCAUGAUAUAGUCCAAAGAGAACCUGGACCACGCAGACAUCAAACAGAACAUGACACUGACCCAUUCUAUCAGUGACGUUGUGCUGAUUGCACAGGACAGAUGAGAGGCUCGUAUACUAGAAGUCUUGGUGGUUAUCAAACCUGGGUCAAAGUUGAAUCACCUGAGGAUCUUUUAGAACAUACACAGCCAGCUGGACCUGCCCUCAGCUACCUCAUCUCUCUCUGUGACCUAAUGACAGAAAAGCACAUGAUUCUCUUCACCUGACUUCAUAUAUGGGUCCAUGUCAUAUGAUACUUCAAAAUCUGUGAUUCCAUGAAGCCAAGAGUAGCUCUUCAACAGGAAAUGAAUGAGUGCUUCAGCUUCUGAUCCCAUUAGUAAGAAAAUACAGUCUUAUGAGCAAUGAUGGAGCUGCAUCUCUUAGGGGCAUUUGAUUCCCAAGAGACCAAAGAGCAAAGAGAAUGUCAAUUUAAAAAAAUCAAAUGUUUCCAUGACUUAGCUAUUUAACUGCUUUAAAAUGAAUGAAUGCUGCUUCAAGUUCUUUCAAAUACCCCACAUCUUGGCAACAACGAAAGGAAUUAACAUGAAGAAAAUUUACAAUCUUUCAUCACAUCGAACAAUGUCCCACAUUUGAAAAGUUCACAGCACAGAUUUCUGGUUACUGAAAGAAAGGAAAGACCUUCUUUGGAUUUGAAUAAACAGAUGGACUUUCUUCUCCUUUUUCUUAUAGUGCCCGAUUUGUGUAAAGGGAGGUGGGAAGAAAACAUCUUAGCUUAAAAGAGUGUCCUAUAAAAUAAAAGGUUUCAUACUU